Homo sapiens (human) is the source of this 743-nucleotide long non-coding RNA. Ensembl annotates it as long intergenic non-protein coding RNA 1980. Lineage: Eukaryota; Metazoa; Chordata; Mammalia; Primates; Hominidae. The record is from Ensembl.
GGGUUCAUCUUCAUGAGGUGUAAUGGCGCCGGGAUGCGCUCUCCUCUUCUCAUUUGCCAAUUUAUUGCAGAUCCCUCCUCAAAAAAGUUUUGGGACUAACUCAGCCCCAUGGAGAUCAAGGUGAAUUAGAAAAACAACAAAACAAAACAAGAUUCAUUUUAACAUCUCAUUUUUCUAUCUCCAACUUUCCCUCCCCUCCUCCCACCCCAGGAAGAAAAGACUACGUUUGUUUCUGGUGAUACAUUCAUUGUAGGUGGGUGGGUGACUUCUAGAAGAGGAAAAUCAAGAAGAUUUGGAGAAGGAGUCUUGGAAGCUCUGGUGAAGUUUUCCAAAACUGGGAAGGACAGAGCUAAGAAGGAAUCAGUGGCCUUAAGAAGACAAUCUUGAAAAAGGACCUAAGUGAUGGAUGCCCACUGGAUCCAAAGAGAGAAACUCUAUAGAAUUAUGAUCUAGGUUUGACUGACUCCUGGCAAGAAGCCCUACCCGCCAGCCAAUUUGGAUGAGCUCUUAUGCUCCAGAUCCAUCAUGAGAAGAACAUGCCCUGGAUUCCUGCUAUCCCUUUAGCCAUGGCUCCAAAAUUAACACACACAAGGAAGACCUGAGGUCAAUCCACAGCCUGGAUUCAAGUCACCUAAUACAUAGGAGAAUCAGAGCUACCCAGCCACACUCAAUCUACGUUAACUGAACCUCAGCUGACCUGCAGAUUUAUGAGUAUGAGAAUAAAGGCUUGUUAAUGUAUAUCA